RNAcentral lists this ribosomal RNA (565 nucleotides) under uncultured bacterium. RNAcentral's name for it is "partial 16S ribosomal RNA". It matches the Rfam family "Bacterial small subunit ribosomal RNA", at positions 355 to 895 of the family's 1533-position model. The record is from RNAcentral.
UGGGGAAUUUUGGACAAUGGGGGAAACCCUGAUCCAGCCAUCCCGCGUGUGCGAUGAAGGCCUUCGGGUUGUAAAGCACUUUUGGCAGGAAAGAAACGUCGCGGGUUAAUACCCCGCGGAACUGACGGUACCUGCAGAAUAAGCACCGGCUAACUACGUGCCAGCAGCCGCGGUAAUACGUAGGGUGCAAGCGUUAAUCGGAAUUACUGGGCGUAAAGCGUGCGCAGGCGGUUCGGAAAGAAAGAUGUGAAAUCCCAGAGCUUAACUUUGGAACUGCAUUUUUAACUACCGGGCUAGAGUGUGCUNNAGGAAGGGGGUAGGGUAGGAAUUUCCCGGCGUGUAGCAGUGAAAUGCGUAGAUAUGCGGAGGAACACCGAUGGGCGAAGGCAGCCUCCUGGGAUAACACUGACGCUCAUGCACGAAAGCGUGGGGAGCAAACAGGAAUUAGAUACCCUGGUAGUCCACGCCCCUAAACGAUGUCCAAACUAGCUGUUGGGGUCUUCGGACCCUUGGUAGCGCAGCUAACGCGUGAAGUUGACCGCCUGGGGAGUACGGUCGCAAGAUU